RNAcentral lists this long non-coding RNA (397 nucleotides) under Helianthus annuus (common sunflower). RNAcentral's name for it is "sRNA HanXRQr2_Chr07g0303491". The record is from RNAcentral. Lineage: Eukaryota; Viridiplantae; Streptophyta; Magnoliopsida; Asterales; Asteraceae.
UUGCUGAUAUAGGCUUCAGAUGGGUCUAUCAUAGCAAUAUGAGUACUUACAGGCAAAGAUAGGGAACGUAAGCCAGAUGGAGCAUUAAAUUUAAUGUUGUCACCAUGUGUUGAUAGCUCACUUGCGAUGCCAUCUUGAAGAGAUAAGGUUUUACUUGAAGACGGAAAUGUAGCAUGUUUGUGAAGGCACUUUUCAGGGGUUUGAAUCGUUGUUUUGUUCAAAAGAAACUCAUCACACGAAUCCUUUUCCUCAAACUCAGAAUUUUUAUGGGAUGUUGAGGAGGUCAAAUCAUCUUCUUUAGUAUCUUGAAUGUUAAGAAGCUCGGUCACAUCAGCACUGAGUUCAUCUACGGAACGAGCUUUUAGAACUCCAAGAGUAGAUUCAAAUGUAUUCGUAC